This 492-nucleotide ribosomal RNA is filed under the name uncultured bacterium. RNAcentral's name for it is "partial 16S ribosomal RNA". It matches the Rfam family "Bacterial small subunit ribosomal RNA", at positions 29 to 507 of the family's 1533-position model. The record is from RNAcentral.
AGUGAACGCUGGCGGUAGGCCUAACACAUGCAAGUUGAACGGCAGCACAGUAAGAGCUUGCUCUUACGGGUGGCGAGUGGUGGACGGGUGAGGAAUACAUCGGAAUCUACUUUUUCGUGGGGGAUAACGUAGGGAAACUUACGCUAAUACCGCAUACGGCCUACGGGUGAAAGCAGGGGAUCUUCGGACCUUGCGCGAUUGAAUGAGCCGAUGUCGGAUUAGCUAGUUGGCGGGGUAAAGGCCCACCAAGGCGACGAUCCGUAGCUGGUCUGAGAGGAUGAUCAGCCACACUGGAACUGAGACACGGUCCAGACUCCUACGGGAGGCAGCAGUGGGGAAUAUUGGACAAUGGGCGCAAGCCUGAUCCAGCCAUACCGCGUGGGUGAAGAAGGCCUUCGGGUUGUAAAGCCCUUUUGUUGGGAAAGAAAAGCAGCAGGUUAAUACCCCGCUGUUCUGACGGUACCCAAAGAAUAAGCACCGGCUAACUUCGUG